RNAcentral lists this ribosomal RNA (253 nucleotides) under uncultured bacterium. Its description in RNAcentral is "partial 16S ribosomal RNA". It matches the Rfam family "Bacterial small subunit ribosomal RNA", at positions 524 to 776 of the family's 1533-position model. The record is from RNAcentral.
UACGGAGGGGGCUAGCGUUGUUCGGAAUUACUGGGCGUAAAGCGUACGUAGGCGGCUUUGUAAGUUAGAGGUGAAAGCCCGGGGCUUAACCCCGGAAUUGCCUUUAAGACUGCAUCGCUUGAAUCAUGGAGAGGUGAGUGGAAUUCCGAGUGUAGAGGUGAAAUUCGUAGAUAUUCGGAAGAACACCAGUGGCGAAGGCGACUCACUGGACAUGUAUUGGCGCUGAGGUACGAAAGCGUGGGGAGCAAACAGG